RNAcentral lists this transfer RNA (60 nucleotides) under Anthonomus grandis (boll weevil). RNAcentral describes it as "tRNA-Leu". Lineage: Eukaryota; Metazoa; Arthropoda; Insecta; Coleoptera; Curculionidae. The record is from RNAcentral.
AAUGGCAGAUUAGUGCAUUGGAUUUAAACCCCAAAAAUAAAGUUUAUACUUUUUUUAGAA